UACGAAGGGGGCUAGCGUUGUUCGGAAUCACUGGGCGUAAAGGGCGCGUAGGCGGCCGAUCAAGUCGGGGGUGAAAGCCUGUGGCUCAACCACAGAAUUGCCUUCGAUACUGUUUGGCUUGAGACCGGAAGAGGUAAGUGGAACUGCGAGUGUAGAGGUGAAAUUCGUAGAUAUUCGCAAGAACACCAGUGGCGAAGGCGGCUUACUGGUCCGGUUCUGACGCUCAGGCGCGAAAGCGUGGGGAGCAAACAGG
RNAcentral lists this ribosomal RNA (253 nucleotides) under uncultured bacterium. Its description in RNAcentral is "partial 16S ribosomal RNA". It matches the Rfam family "Bacterial small subunit ribosomal RNA", at positions 524 to 776 of the family's 1533-position model. The record is from RNAcentral.